This 371-nucleotide ribosomal RNA is filed under the name uncultured organism. RNAcentral's name for it is "partial 16S ribosomal RNA". It matches the Rfam family "Bacterial small subunit ribosomal RNA", at positions 527 to 896 of the family's 1533-position model. The record is from RNAcentral.
GAGGGGUGCAAGCGUUAUUCGGAAUCAUUGGGCGUAAAGGGUGCGUAGACGGCUUAUCAAGUCAACUGUUAAAUUCUCCGGCCUAACUGGAGGUCAGCAGUAGAAACUGAUAGGCUUGAGGUUGGAAGAGAGAAGUGGAAUUCUCGGAGUAGCGGUAAAAUGCGUAGAUCUCGAGAGGAACACCGAUGGCGAAGGCAGCUUCUUGGUCCAUACCUGACGUUGAGGCACGAAAGCGUGGGGAGCAAACAGGAUUAGAUACCCUGGUAGUCCACGCCGUAAACGAUGAUCACUAGACGUUAAUUCUGCUUGCAGAAUCAGUGUCGUAGCUAACGCGCUAAGUGAUCCGCCUGGGGACUACGGUCGCAAGACUA